This 245-nucleotide ribosomal RNA is filed under the name uncultured Anaerococcus sp. Its description in RNAcentral is "partial 16S ribosomal RNA". It matches the Rfam family "Bacterial small subunit ribosomal RNA", at positions 524 to 769 of the family's 1533-position model. Lineage: Bacteria; Bacillati; Bacillota; Tissierellia; Tissierellales; Peptoniphilaceae. The record is from RNAcentral.
UACGUAAGGACCGAGCGUUGUCCGGAAUCAUUGGGCGUAAAGGGUACGUAGGCGGCUAGAAAAGUUAGAAGUCAAAGGCUAUAGCUCAACUAUAGUAAGCUUCUAAAACUAUUUAGCUUGAGAAAUGGAAGGGAAAGUGGAAUUCCUAGUGUAGCGGUGGAAUGCGCAGAUAUUAGGAAGAAUACCGGUGGCGAAGGCGACUUUCUGGCCAUUAUCUGACGCUGAGGUACGAAAGCGUGGGUAGC